UUAAGAAAAUAUUGUGGUAAUAUAAAUUAAAACUUUCAGUUGUAUGAAAUAUGUUGUAAAUUCCCGAUCUUACAAUGGUGGAAGCAAUUGUUUCCAAUCAAACCCCAACCACUUGUAAUGUAAUCUGAGUAAAUUUUCUUUUUAGCGAAGUUUUACAUUUAACAAAUAUUCUGCCAAAUCCGAGAGAAAAGAAUUUGUUAAAAAUAAACUUUCCUUUAAAAAAUGCAAUUAAAAUACUCGAAAUAUUACAUCUAUGACGUAAAACUCGUGACGUAACGCGUGACGCAUUGCAACGACAAAUUCGAAUUCGUUCCAUUUCGUAUUGUUGCCGACGCCAUCUUGGAAAUUUAUGCUUUCCGGAAAUUGCGAGUUCUUUUUCCCUCCAUUUUAACAUUUUUCGUACAAAUUUUAAUAAUGAAAACUCGCGUAACGUAGGUAACUUAAUAUUUUUCGAUUUAUAUCAAAAUUAAAUAAUUUAAAUUAGAUACGCUUUAAACCUAGAUUUGCGGCCUGUAACCUGUAAGGUUACGGAAUGCGUUUUUAUAAUUUUAUUUAUUAUUACAAAUAUCUUAGCGAUAUUUUACAAAAAAAGAGGACUAUUUUAGCAUUUUAAAGAAAACAUUUGCAAUUAGUUAAUAUUCUGACGUAGAACUUAUGACGUAACGUGUGACGCAUUUAUCGCACGUUCCACCGAUUCGAAUUCGUUCGAUUUCGUAUUGCCGACGCCAUCUUGAAAUAGAAAGUUUUCUGGAAAUUGCGAGUUAUUUUUCCCUCCAUUUCGAGAUUUUUCGUAAAUGUUUAAUUACAUAAACCCGAAUAACGCAGGCAAUGAAGAAGUAUCAUUCUCAAAUUUUAUAAUCCACUUUCCAAAGAGACAUGGAAUCAUUUUAAAAACUUCUUGUGCUCAAAAAAUUAACAAGAAGCAAAACAAAGGAAAGGAAGAAGUAUCAUUCUCAAGUUUUAUAAUCCACUUUCCAAAGAGACAUGGAAUCAUUUUAAAAACUUCUUUGCUCAAACAAUUAACAAGAAGCAAAACAAAAAAAAGAUUUAACUGAUUGUGAGCACUUAAAGCCAGGAGUUGUGUGACAUCAUUUAGGCUUCUGACAUACCAAUAGAGCAGCUAUGUGACAUGUAUGUAUGAAAAUUACUUUGUGGAUAAUCAACUCAAUGGUUAUCUGCUCCACACACCUUCCUUUAGAAAAUGUUGAUAUUGAACUUUGUCACUGCAAUCUUUUAACAAACAUUUCCAUUAUGACAAAGAGCAUGCAACAUUUUCUUCUAUAAAUGGUCAGUGAACUACUUUACUUUACUUUUAUAUUCCCGGGACCAUUUUAAUUUUAAAUUUUGUAAAAAUUGGCAUUCAGAGUUUGAUUUGUCUUGAUGUUCAUUUUGGAUUAAUUAGCCCUAUGUUAAUUAAGCACAAUAAAAUUAGGUUCAAAUUUUCUUUAUCAUAUAUAAUGUAAUAGAGAUAGCUGUAAAAGCAGAUUAUAAAUUAUGAAUUAUUGUA
Molecule: long non-coding RNA, 1507 nt
Organism: Centruroides sculpturatus (bark scorpion)
Lineage: Eukaryota; Metazoa; Arthropoda; Arachnida; Scorpiones; Buthidae
Exons: 5
Source: RefSeq, a predicted model, not a curated record